AUUGAACGCUGGCGGCAGGCCUAACACAUGCAAGUCGAGCGGAUGAAGGGAGCUUGCUCCUGGAUUCAGCGGCGGACGGGUGAGUAAUGCCUAGGAAUCUGCCUGGUAGUGGGGGAUAACGUCCGGAAACGGGCGCUAAUACCGCAUACGUCCUGAGGGAGAAAGUGGGGGAUCUUCGGACCUCACGCUAUCAGAUGAGUCUAGGUCGGAUUAGCUAGUUGGUGGGGUAAAGGCCUACCAAGGCGACGAUCCGUAACUGGUCUGAGAGGAUGAUCAGUCACACUGGAACUGAGACACGGUCCAGAGUCCUACGGGAGGCAGCAGUGGGGAAUAUUGGACAAUGGGCGAAAGCCUGAUCCAGCCAUGCCGCGUGUGUGAAGAAGGUCUUCGGAUUGUAAAGCACUUUAAGUUGGGAGGAAGGGCAGUAAGUUAAUACCUUGCUGUUUUGACGUUACCAACAGAAUAAGCACCGGCUAACUUCGUG
RNAcentral lists this ribosomal RNA (484 nucleotides) under uncultured bacterium. Its description in RNAcentral is "partial 16S ribosomal RNA". It matches the Rfam family "Bacterial small subunit ribosomal RNA", at positions 30 to 507 of the family's 1533-position model. The record is from RNAcentral.